This 755-nucleotide ribosomal RNA is filed under the name uncultured Streptococcus sp. RNAcentral describes it as "bacterial SSU rRNA". It matches the Rfam family "Bacterial small subunit ribosomal RNA", at positions 92 to 835 of the family's 1533-position model. Lineage: Bacteria; Bacillati; Bacillota; Bacilli; Lactobacillales; Streptococcaceae. The record is from RNAcentral.
UGAGUUGCGAACGGGUGAGUAACGCGUAGGUAACCUGCCUGGUAGCGGGGGAUAACUAUUGGAAACGAUAGCUAAUACCGCAUAAGAGUAGAUGUUGCAUGACAUUUGCUUAAAAGGUGCAAAUGCAUCACUACCAGAUGGACCUGCGUUGUAUUAGCUAGUUGGUGGGGUAACGGCUCACCAAGGCGACGAUACAUAGCCGACCUGAGAGGGUGAUCGGCCACACUGGGACUGAGACACGGCCCAGACUCCUACGGGAGGCAGCAGUAGGGAAUCUUCGGCAAUGGACGGAAGUCUGACCGAGCAACGCCGCGUGAGUGAAGAAGGUUUUCGGAUCGUAAAGCUCUGUUGUAAGAGAAGAACGAGUGUGAGAGUGGAAAGUUCACACUGUGACGGUAUCUUACCAGAAAGGGACGGCUAACUACGUGCCAGCAGCCGCGGUAAUACGUAGGUCCCGAGCGUUGUCCGGAUUUAUUGGGCGUAAAGCGAGCGCAGGCGGUUAGAUAAGUCUGAAGUUAAAGGCUGUGGCUUAACCAUAGUAGGCUUUGGAAACUGUUUAACUUGAGUGCAAGAGGGGAGAGUGGAAUUCCAUGUGUAGCGGUGAAAUGCGUAGAUAUAUGGAGGAACACCGGUGGCGAAAGCGGCUCUCUGGCUUGUAACUGACGCUGAGGCUCGAAAGCGUGGGGAGCAAACAGGAUUAGAUAUCCUGGUAGUCCACGCCGUAAACGAUGAGUGCUAGGUGUUAGACCCUUUCC